GCCACCUUUCCUUUGUCCCUCCACAUCUCCCUUAUAUAUAGUAGAUGGACUUAACCUCUGUGUCUCCUUUUGCUAGUGCCUCCGUCUCCCUUCCUCUUCAUUCUUUGUUGGUUUUCUUUCCAUUCUAUUGCUGACCCCAACUGCUCACCACAAACAAGGGCUCCAGAACUGCUUCAAAAUUUUUUCUAAGUCUCAGAGGUGGCUUCGUCUGGAAAGAUUACAAGAACCAAAGGUGAAGUUGUUGGUGUACAUUCAGACUUAAGCACAGAUGGCGCUUCCUGUUUGGUAACACCUCACGUGGGCUCCUCGUCCCCCACCAACUCUGCCAGUCACCAUCCCACACAGUCAAGCAUGCACAGGAUUACAGGUUUGCCAAGAACACAUCCUCGUGUCUGCCAAGGAGUGCCUGUUGGAGGAAGAAUUCGAACAGAGGAUGUUCAGAGGGGAUGCAGAGAUACAUUUUGGACACUAAGAAAGUAAAAAACUUAUGAAAUCAAAUAGCAAUAGCCUGGCUUAACAAGCAA
Non-coding RNA from Odocoileus virginianus texanus, 524 nucleotides. The record is from RefSeq and is a predicted model, not a curated record. NCBI's taxonomy places the organism in Eukaryota, Metazoa, Chordata, Mammalia, Artiodactyla, Cervidae.